GGAUGUGAGGGUGAUCUGGCUGCGACAUUUGUCACCCCAUUGAUCAUCAGGGUUGAUUCGGCUGAGCUGGCUGCCUACGCGGGUGUCCCCUUCCUCCCUCAAUGCUCCAUAUGUGUCCUUCCCGAAGCUUCGCACUCGGUGGAGGAGGAUGACCACCCCGAUAGAGGAGGACCAUUCCUGGGUCAAGGGUAUAUGAGGAGCUGCGCUCCCCUGCUAGAACCUCCAAACAAGCUCUCAGGAAAAAUAGUGUGUUUAAGUAACUUUCAUAACAGUAAAAGACACAUUGCCAUUAAC
Molecule: small nuclear RNA, 294 nt
Filed under: Chinchilla lanigera (long-tailed chinchilla)
Lineage: Eukaryota; Metazoa; Chordata; Mammalia; Rodentia; Chinchillidae
Description: 7SK RNA (ENSCLAG00000021635.1)
Rfam family: 7SK RNA
About the family: 7SK was discovered as an abundant small nuclear RNA in the mid-70s but a possible function has only recently been suggested. Two independent studies have found that 7SK RNA binds the CDK9/cyclin T complex (known as elongation factor P-TEFb). P-TEFb activates transcription by phosphorylating the C-terminal domain of RNA polymerase II.
Source: RNAcentral